GAUGAAUGUUUUUAUUCGUGUAAUGGUAAGAAUAUUUUCAUGAGGUGAAAAUAUUCUUACCAUUGAAAAUAUUCUUACCAGUGAAAAUAUUCUUACCAUUGCACGAAUAAAAACAUUCAUU
Molecule: microRNA precursor, 121 nt
Filed under: Paramuricea clavata
Lineage: Eukaryota; Metazoa; Cnidaria; Anthozoa; Malacalcyonacea; Plexauridae
Source: RNAcentral